AGUGAACGCUGGCGGUAUGCCUAACACAUGCAAGUCGAACGGCAGCACAGUAAGAGCUUGCUCUUACGGUUGGCGAGUGGCGGACGGGUGAGGAAUACAUCGGAAUCUACUUUUUCGUGGGGGAUAACGUAGGGAAACUUACGCUAAUACCGCAUACUACCUACGGGUGAAAGCAGGGGAUCUUCGGACCUUGCGCGAUUGUAUUAGCCGAUGUCGGAUUAGCUAGUUGGCGGGGUAAAGGCCCACCAAGCCGACGAUCCGUAGCUGGUCUGAGAGGAUGGUCAGCCACACUGGAACUGAGACACGGCCCAGCCUCCUAGGGGAGGCAGCAGUGGGGAAUAUUGGACAAUGGGCGAAAGCCUGCUCCAGCCAUACCGCGUGGGUGAAGAAGGCCUUCGGGUUGUAAAGCCCUUUUGUUGGGAAAGAAAAGCAGCAGGUUAAGACCCCGCUGUUCUGACGGUACCCAAAGAAUAAGCACCGGCUAACUUCGU
This 491-nucleotide ribosomal RNA is filed under the name uncultured bacterium. Its description in RNAcentral is "partial 16S ribosomal RNA". It matches the Rfam family "Bacterial small subunit ribosomal RNA", at positions 29 to 506 of the family's 1533-position model. The record is from RNAcentral.